GGGCCCGCACAAGCGGUGGAGCAUGUGGUUUAAUUCGAUGCAACGCGAAGAACCUUACCAGGGCUUAAAUGCAGAGCGACAGAGGUGGAAACACCUCCUUCUUCGGACGGUCUGCAAGGUGCUGCAUGGUUGUCGUCAGCUCGUGCUGUGAAGUGUCGGGUUAAGUCCCAUAACGAGCGCAACCCCUAUUUCUAGUUGCCAGCGGUUCGGCCGGGGACUCUAGAGAAACUGCCAGCGUAAGCUGUGAGGAAGGUGGGGAUGACGUCAAAUCAUCACGGCCCUUACGUCCUGGGCCACACACGUGCUACAAUGGUAAGGACAGAGAGUUGCCAACCCGCGAGGGUGAGCA
RNAcentral lists this ribosomal RNA (349 nucleotides) under uncultured bacterium. RNAcentral's name for it is "bacterial SSU rRNA". It matches the Rfam family "Bacterial small subunit ribosomal RNA", at positions 917 to 1269 of the family's 1533-position model. The record is from RNAcentral.